CCCAGACUCCUACGGGAGGCAGCAGUGAGGAAUAUUGGUCAAUGGGCGCGAGCCUGAACCAGCCAAGUCGCGUGAGGGAAGACGGUCCUAUGGAUUGUAAACCUCUUUUGCCGGGGAGCAAAGAGCGGGACGCGUCCCGCCUCGAGAGUACCCGGAGAAAAAGCAUCGGCUAACUCCGUGCCAGCAGCCGCGGUAAUACGGAGGAUGCGAGCGUUAUCCGGAUUUAUUGGGUUUAAAGGGUGCGCAGGCGGAGGUGCAAGUCAGCGGUCAAAUUGCGGGGCUCAACCCCGUACUGCCGUUGAAACUGCAUCCCUUGAGUGCGCGAGAAGUAUGCGGAAUGCGUGGUGUAGCGGUGAAAUGCAUAGAUAUCACGCAGAACUCCGAUUGCGAAGGCAGCAUACCGGCGCGCAACUGACGCUCAUGCACGAAAGCGUGGGUAUCGAACAGGAUUAGAUACCCUCGUA
This 464-nucleotide ribosomal RNA is filed under the name uncultured bacterium. Its description in RNAcentral is "bacterial SSU rRNA". It matches the Rfam family "Bacterial small subunit ribosomal RNA", at positions 330 to 792 of the family's 1533-position model. The record is from RNAcentral.